CAGGAAUUAGAAGAAAAAAAAAAAAAAAAAAAAAGGGAAAAGAAAAAAAGAAAGAAAGAGAAAAAAGAAACAACCACCGCCCCGGGGGUGAAGCUCCCUCGCUCCCAACUCUACUUCUUGGUCUCCCCCCCACCCCCCGCUCCCCCCCCCUUCUGCUGCUUCCUCCUCCUCCUCCUCCUCUCGCAGCAGCAGUCACAGCAGCAGCAGCAGCAGCCCAAAGGGGGGGAGAGCCGGGCGGCGGGCGGGCGCGUCCCGGAGCGGCCGCGGCGAGGCUGGGGAGACAGCGAUCGAGGCGGCUAUAGCCACAAUUAAUUUUCCGAGCUACAGGCGCACACUAGGGCUGUAAAAAAAUUUUUGGUUUAACCUUUCCUACCGCUCGGCCAAUCAGAGCCGGCGGCGUGCGGGAGCGUCUCUCCCGCCGUCGACCAAUCGGCGGACCCGGGCCCACCCACCCCCGCCCCGCCCGCCGGCUCCCGCCCCCUCGGCGCUCGCCUCCCCCUCGCCGCGGGCCUGGGCCUCGCGGCCGCGCGGAGCCGCGUAGGGAUACGCCGUCCGGAGCACGCUGCGCCGCGGCCCUCUCGGCGCCCCCGCCACCCCCUCCGCCCUGCGGGCCGCUCCGCCGAGGUCCCCCUCUUAGGGCAGAUAGCUCACAUUUCCGGCUGCCUCCUCGCCGUGUCGGGCCAUUUUCGUUUGAGCGUCAAUGUUUGUCGUUAUUGAUUAAAGUUUGUAUUCCAUUUCAUUUUUAAAAGCGGGGGCGGGGGCGGGGGCGGGGGCGGCCGCGGCGGUGGGGCGGAGAGUGUGGGAGUGCGGGGACGGGGUGCGAGGAGAGGGCAGGAAAUGGAGGAGGAAGAGGCGAGGCGCGACCGGCCCCGAGUCGGCCCUCCAGGCCCGGGGCGGCAUUGCCGAGCCCGUAGGAAAACUGUGCCCCUCAUGCAUAGGGAGUCCCUGACCCCAGGACGUUUGGGAACAAGUGGAACUCAUGCAGAGGCAUCCAGGUAUUUCCAGAGACUGACGAGCCGAGGUCUGCAAUCCCUUCCUAACAGCAGCAAGGAGCUUAAUCCUGUGUUUGGAGUCAGCACCCGCCUGUUGUCGGUACCAACGUCCGCCCCCUAGAGGAAGAGCUCUGCAGCUCACCCAACGCCAACCCGUUUUCCCGCCGUGACCUCGGGAAUCAAACUUAAUAUUCCUUUGCAAAUCGCUCUCCAAACUAACUCCCCCCUCCCACACCCCCUCACAUCCCCUUCCGCCCUACAACAUCGUCACAAUAUUUUCUUAGUAAUUGCUCUGUGCAAUUGACAGAAGCGCCAAGUCUCCGGCAGCGCGGUGCUCUCCCAGCAAAGCGCCAGAGCGCGUUGGGAAACAGGUCAGGGGAUAUUUGGGGCUGGAGCGAUAAUCCACUUUUAUCCAAAAUUCGCCUAGAGCAGCCCGAAUUCGGGCCUCGUAAAGCAACGUCUGAUGCCGACCCCACCACAUUCCAGUGCUUCUGUAGGGCUUCCUUAGAGAAAACAGCCCGGGUUCCUGUGCCGGCCGGUUGCUAACUGCGGGAGGGGUUUCCCGGCUUCUCCGUCACUCCCUGCUCCCCUCCACCCCCGAGCACGACGGUCUGAGAUCCCGGCUCUCUCUAAUCAGCUCUCGGAGCCCAAAGGGUCCUUCGAUUUUUCCAAAUGGGUUGCUUGAUGUACUGAGGUAAAGGCAUUAAAGGGGAGGAUAGGUUUGGAUGGGUGACCCCUGUGGCCUGGGAGACCAACCCGGGAGAACCCCCCCUCCCGCCGCCCCCCGCCCGGGUCUUUACACUGAGUCGCGGAGUUUCGAAAAACUUUCUCAGUGCGCGGGGAACUCAGAGGCUGGGCCCGCAGGGACCAGGGGCCUUGCUAUAUUUUAGUCUCGGUGGAUCCUGUCGGCUUCUUUCGAAGAAAAAGCCAACCACACUCCCUCAUCUUGCCUCGCUGCUCUCAAGCCAAUCUUGGAGAAAGGAGAUGCUAAACGAGGCUGUGGCAAGAAAAGUGACGAGGGUGAUCGGUGCGCUCCCGGCUGGUUGACACCCGAGCAGCGAGCAGACUGUUGACAUCAGCGCGCGGGCUUUCGGGCAUUUCCACCCCCCAACCCGUCCCAAGUUUUGUUUUGUUUUGCUUUCAUGUAUUGCUGGAAUACUGUUAAAACUGGAAGUUUGCUGGAAAGGCGAGGAGGGAACAAGCAAGUUGAAUUCGUUUGGGGGGAGAAAAAAAAAAAAACCUCAUAAAUAAAUGGAAUUCGGUUGGGUUUAAUUUCUUCUGUCACCCCUUCCUUCUUUUUUUUCCCCCCGUUUUUUCUCAAUUUCUCACCUUUCCCUUCCCUCUUCUCUCUCUUCCUCCUCUCCCUCCUCUCCUAUCCCUAUCCGUAUUCCUGUCCACAUCCCUACCCCAUCUCUGUGGGUGAAAGAGAAAAGCAGCAGCUAGAGAGGGUGGAGGUGACCAUUUUUAUGCAGAGUUUCAGAACUGCGGUGUGUCAGUCCUCAGUCCCAGCGCUGGAGUUUAAAGGAGAUAUCCUGGGGCUCACUCUUCCUCUCCUCUCCUCCAGAGGCAACUUCAGAACCAGGGACUAAGAAGCUUUUUUUCAUACUAUAGAAUUAUUGUUUUAAAGGUAGUUGAAAUAAAUGUGUGCGUGUGUGUGUGUGUGUGUGUACAAUCUACAAAAUAACAAGCCCCUCAAACUGAUGUCCUAGUACAUGCCUGGCCUAUGGAACGAGGCACGCCCCAAAACUCACUCCGCCCAAGCCCUAAGAACUUAAAUCCUCAAAAAUGUCUCAUUUUGUUUAAUGUACAACUGGCGCUUCCACUCUCAAAUGCCAGUUCUAUCAUUGCUCUCCCGCAUCAUAUUAACAAGCGAUGUUAGCCUUCCCCUACGUGUUUAGGCUGCUAAUGCGGGCCACUUAACGCAACAAAAAUGCUCAUCUGUGGAGAUUUUCCCAAGGCUGGUCUCGAUGCUGGCUCCUUUUUCUUUUCUUUUCAGGGCACGUCAAUUCCUCCCUCCCACUCCGGGGGCUGAGAAAAGGGGGUCCAACAACUUUGAGCAAGUGUGUGAGAGCUCCUUCCUCUAUCUCUUGCCUGCCAACCCUCCCAAGAGAUUGUGAAUUUUUGGUUUUCCCUUAGGAGCAGAAAUAAAUGGAAGCUUCAACCAUGGCACUUGGUUGCCUCUGUCAUCUUUCCUUUCUUCUUCCUCACUUCAUCUGUGAAAGCAGCUCAGGAUUGCUCUGUAUCCUUCUUAGCUCUAGCUUUCUGAAGAAAACUGCUGGUUUUCUUUCCUGCUGGCUGAAAAGCUGGGUUGGAGAUGCUCUCUGUCUAGAACUGUUUGUGUUGUUGUGUGUCUUGUAUGUUUGUCUAGUUUUAACAGCUUUAUGGAGGAGACUCUGAAGGGAGGAAUCACCUGAGCCUAGAUACGGCUUUUGUCAUGUUCUCUUACUUUUAAAUUCUGGCCUGGGAAAAUCAUGUGUUUUCAUGAUUCAUAGGUAUCUAGUUCCAAGGAGGCCAUCAGGGAGAAAAUACAACAAAACUGACUUACUGUGUAGGACAUUUCAUUCAUGGGGUCUUAGUUUAAAAAGAUGAUUGUCUUCAUGUCUCCCCUCUGGAACAUUUUUGCUUUUUAAAAGCCUAUAAAGUAUAGACAUGAGAAGAGAGUGUUUUAGCUCUGUGUCUACCAACUCUCUACCUACGGAUUCUUAGGCAAGUUGCUUCAGCACUCUAAUUCUUUCUCUUCUCAUCUGAGAAAUAAGUGAUCUGCAUUCAUUAAUAUAUAAAAUAGCACCCACUUACCAAAAUCUCAACAACAAUAAAAAGCAAUUCCCAAAACCAUAAGAAUUUUUUUUUUUUUGGAAGCAGGAAGAAAAUCUUAUUCAAACGACAGCAGCGACAUCUAGUGACCAUAAUGCUCAAUAGUAGUGAUGAGAGUGUAGGAUAGUUUCCUGAGGAAUAGGUUUUUCACAGGAGAGAGAAAUCGUGUGUUUUUUUCUAGUAAAUCCUGAUUGUCUGGAAAACAGUAUUCUCUUGAUAUCAAUGGAUAUUUUACUGUGUUCAUGUUAUGGUAAUAAUAUACAGAAAGCAAAAGAUGUUUACCUCAAAUCUGCACAUAGGGCAAUUACAAUUUUUAAGAACAUUCUUCUGCUUUAAAUUCCAUGUUAGGAUACCAGUUCUAAAAAAAAUAAUUUUGUGGGAUGUGCUUUAAUUUCCCAAUUUUCAAAGUUAUAAUCACAUUUAUUAAUGCAUAAAUACUUGGUAAAGUUGGAAAAGGUAGAAGUUUCUGAAAUUUCCUUUUGUCUGGAUCAACCAUUUAGUUGAUUUGAGAUUGCUGUCUAGUCAAUAUCAGGCAACUGAUUAAGGAUAACCUCUCCUUUAAGUUGUCACAUGUAUGCUCUGUCUAUAUCACCUUUGCUCAAAAUAUUUUGAAAUUCAGAGGAAUGCGAUUCCCAUUUCCAGAUGGACUCCAACUCUCCUUUAUAUAGCAAAGAUUAAAUGGAAUAUCUGGGCAUGGGUGAAGUUUUAACAAUGGCAGAGACUUAGCAAUGGCCCAAGACCUUUCAGAAUGACAAUUUUAGCAUUUGCUUGGCAUUUAACACUUCAGACAGAGGUAACAGAAGAAUUCAUCUCAUUCCCUAUGACUUUAUAAAUUGGCCAUGUGUGUAGGCAUAGUUUGUGCAUGCACUCAUUGAAGCAUAAGUGUUCUUAAUUUCCUAUUAGCAAAGCAGCUGAUGACUCCUGGAAUAUAUGGAUCCAUGUUUCGUAACUUUAAAGGAAGCCAAUUUUACUUAUUCCAUUUUAUUUUUGAUCAACGUUCUUUUUAUUUUUUUAUUUUUUAUUAUUAUUUUUUUUUACUAUGGAGUCUGGCCACUGAGUGGUAUGAUAGCUAUUUUAGCCAGGUAGUAUUCUAAAAUAAUAAGAUAAUUGGACUUGUUAUUAACACCUUGGAGAAUUUGAGCUAGUCAUGCCACUUCUCUUAACCUUAGUUUCCUCAUAUGCAAAAUGAGAAAGUUGAACCCUCCAUUGUCCCUUAUAGCUAGAAAGAGCUAUAAAGUAAUACAUCGUCAGCCUUCAUUGGGGAAGACUCUCUGUUGGUGCCCUUGUUAUAAUUUGUGACUCUUCGAUGUCAAUUCUGAAAUUUUCAGUUGGGCAUCUUAUCAGAAAUAAGAACUGGAAGAAUUGAUGAAACUGUCUUCUCCCUGUCCCUCCAAUCUUCCCCUCUGUCUGAUUUUUAAAAUGACAGAAAUCUUAGACUUUCCAGUUAACAUUCACUCAGGCAUUGGCAUGCACCCAGCUCUCUCUUGCGGUCCAUCCAGAAAAAUCACAGCAUAGGAAUGGGACUAAGCUGAACACAAAGAUGAGGCAGCUGUAUUUGAGUUUCUCUAUCUUGUUCCCAUAUCCUUAUGGUAAUGAUUAUUAUUACUAUUAAUUUG
RNAcentral lists this long non-coding RNA (5422 nucleotides) under Canis lupus familiaris (dog). RNAcentral's name for it is "lncRNA (ENSCAFG00000058096.1)". Lineage: Eukaryota; Metazoa; Chordata; Mammalia; Carnivora; Canidae. The record is from RNAcentral.